AUGGGAACGCGAAGAACCUUACCUACUCUUGACAUCCAGAGAACUUUCCAGAGAUGGAUUGGUGCCUUCGGGAACUCUGAGACAGGUGCUGCAUGGCUGUCGUCAGCUCGUGUUGUGAAAUGUUGGGUUAAGUCCCGCAACGAGCGCAACCCGUUAUCCUUUGUUGCCAGCGGUUCGGCCGGGAACUCAAAGGAGACUGCCAGUGAUAAACUGGAGGAAGGUGGGGAUGACGUCAAGUCAUCAUGGCCCUUACGAGUAGGGCUACACACGUGCUACAAUGGCGCAUACAAAGAGAAGCGACCUCGCGAGAGCAAGCGGACCUCAUAAAGUGCGUCGUAGUCCGGAUUGGAGUCUGCAACUCGACUCCAUGAAGUCGGAAUCGCUAGUAAUCGUAGAUCAGAAUGCUACGGUGAAUACGUUCCCGGGUCUUGUACACACCGAGUCGUGGGAGGCAAGGGGCAC
Molecule: ribosomal RNA, 462 nt
Filed under: uncultured bacterium
Lineage: Bacteria
Description: bacterial SSU rRNA
Rfam family: Bacterial small subunit ribosomal RNA
Source: RNAcentral